RNAcentral lists this ribosomal RNA (448 nucleotides) under uncultured bacterium. Its description in RNAcentral is "bacterial SSU rRNA". It matches the Rfam family "Bacterial small subunit ribosomal RNA", at positions 355 to 796 of the family's 1533-position model. The record is from RNAcentral.
UGGGGAAUCUUGCGCAAUGGACGACAGUCUGACGCAGCGACGCCGCGUGGGGGAAGAAGGCUUUCGGGUUGUAAACCCCUUUCAGGAAGGACGAAGCCACUCGGGUUAAUAGCCCAGAGGGUGACGGUACUUCCAGAAGAAGCCCCGGCUAACUACGUGCCAGCAGCCGCGGUAAUACGUAGGGGGCAAGCGUUGUCCGGAUUUAUUGGGCGUAAAGAGCGUGUAGGCGGUUCGGUAGGUCCGUUGUGAAAACUCAAGGCUCAACCUUGAGACGCCGAUGGAAACCCUCGAACUAGAGUCCGGAAGAGGAGAGUGGAAUUCCUGGUGUAGCGGUGAAAUGCGCAGAUAUCAGGAAGAACACCCGUGGCUAAGGCGGCUCUCUAGUACGGUACUGACGCUGAGACGCGAAAGCGUGGGGAGCGAACAGGAUUAGAUACCCCCGUAGUCC